Molecule: ribosomal RNA, 758 nt
Filed under: uncultured bacterium
Lineage: Bacteria
Description: bacterial SSU rRNA
Rfam family: Bacterial small subunit ribosomal RNA
Source: RNAcentral
AUUGAACGCUGGCGGCAGGCUUAACACAUGCAAGUCGAACGGUAACAGGAGAAAAGCUUGCUUUUCUUGCUGACGAGUGGCGGACGGGUGAGUAAUGCUUGGGAAUCUGCCUUAUGGAGGGGGAUAACUACGGGAAACUGUAGCUAAUACCGCGUAAUAUCUACGGAUUAAAGUGUGGGACCUUCGGGCCACAUGCCAUAAGAUGAGCCCAAGUGAGAUUAGGUAGUUGGUGAGGUAAAGGCUCACCAAGCUGACGAUCUCUAGCUGGUUUGAGAGGAUGACCAGCCACACUGGAACUGAGACACGGUCCAGACUCCUACGGGAGGCAGCAGUGGGGAAUAUUGCACAAUGGGCGCAAGCCUGAUGCAGCCAUGCCGCGUGAAUGAAGAAGGCUUUCGGGUUGUAAAGUUCUUUCAGCGAUGAGGAAGGUGCAUUAUCUAAUAGGUGAUGUAAUUGACGUUAGUCGCAGAAGAAGCACCGGCUAACUCCGUGCCAGCAGCCGCGGUAAUACGGAGGGUGCGAGCGUUAAUCGGAAUAACUGGGCGUAAAGGGCACGCAGGCGGUUGUCUAAGUCAGAUGUGAAAGCCCCGAGCUUAACUUGGGAAUUGCAUUUGAGACUGGGCGACUAGAGUCCUCUAGGGAGGGGUAGAAUUCCACGUGUAGCGGUGAAAUGCGUAGAGAUGUGGAGGAAUACCGAAGGCGAAGGCAGCCCCUUGGAGAGAGACUGACGCUGAGUGCGAAAGCGUGGGUAGCAAACG